GGUGGAGCGAUGCAGGAAAGGGACCGGCAGCUAUUGGCCCCUCAUCCACGAAAUCCCAGGAGUCAUAUUGGGUGAUGACUGGACCAAGUCAAUUACUUGAAAGAAAGAAGGGAUUCGGACUCUGAAUAUUCUACAUGGGAAGAGAUUAGGGUAUUUUUAAUGUCUGAGCCUCGGCUCUUUUUGAAGAUGGAGGGGGUUCGUAUUUUGAUUUUAUGAUUGGGAAGCUGACAGCUGAAGCUCUCCGCGAACUCGGAACUUUCGCACUCGACUCACAGAGAGCUCCACCGAGUCGCAGCCGUGAGAGCACUCGUCCCAGGAAAACCGACCUCCCCGCGAGCCAGCGCCCCCUUCCCCGGCGGCGCCACCCGCCCGAAGCACCGAGCCGCCGCGCCCGCCGCAGCAGACCCCCGAGGCCGCCCCCUCGAAGAAGAAGGAGGACGUCUACCUCGACGAGACCCUAAUUCCUCCUGGAUCGUUCCGGACCUGCUGCUGCCGCACCUGCAAUUAUCCGUAUUUCCGAAGUUCAUGGGCAAAGUCCGUAAACCUUUCCUUCACCAUCGCCUCGCCAGUAUCGAGUCUAGGAGGAGGAGGAGAGGAUGCUGAAGGGGGGGACCCGGGAUGUGAGAUUGCCCCUCAUUGCAGAGAAGUAGGGGAGAUGCCACUGGAGGCUCUGUUCUUAAGAUCUUGACUUUUAAUGGAAACUCUUUCGAUGAUUAGAGUUGGUUCUCAAAUUAUUCACGGGGGAAUAGAGAAAUUACUCCUGCAGCAUUCAGUGGAAGUGGAAGGAACUCGGUAUUAACUUUCUGUCUCAAUUUGACGAUACACAGUACUUAUCCCCACACAAGCAAUCGUCUUAUUUCUGAGCAUCCUGUGACGCACAUCGAGAUCUGUGGGGAAACAGAUUUAUUGCGCCUUAAACCUUCCAUCCAGCAUUUUACUCACGAUCCAAGAUUAAGGAAUGGUUUAGUCAGGUUUGAGUACAGACACAAAUGAAGGCAUUUCGCGUCCUGGAUAGCACUCAAUGAAAUCAUUGCACAUUGUUCGUUUUGAUGACUAUUCGUAUACUGCUUCAUGGAAUCAAAGACGCAUAGCCCUGGAGUCGCUGGUUGGAAAAGUUUAAAGGUGAGUAGAUUUGUUUCUGCUUUUUCUUUUGACUGGCUGCUUAGGAGGCAGGCCAAAGGAUUGGCUGUAAUUCGUUACUCUCAUUGGAAAUGGCCUGUUGCUAGGUCUGAAGAGUUGGUUCCCAUCCAAGCUGCAGUUUGUGGUAUGAUUUUUCCUAGUUCCUUGGCUGCAGACAAAGUUGUAUGCACAGCUUCUUCAAAUGGUUGCCUUAAUUCUUUUGUUGCUUGGGAUAUUGUCAAAAACAAGAAUGCUGAUGUUGACUGGCACAAACUUGGGUGGUUCUCCCCUAAUGUGUCAAGAUUUGGCUUUAUUUCUUGGAGUAACAUGAUAAACUUCCCACUUUUGAGAGGAUUAACAGUUAAUCUGUUGAGAGUGCUAGAUCUCCUCAUUUGUCCUCAUUUAUAUAGUUUGAUAAGAUUGUUAGUAAAAGUAAGCUCUUCGAUUAGCAGGUUAGUUAAGCAGCCAGUGUUUGUUGAUUGAUUCGAAUCUUCUUCUUUCUGCAUAUGCCAUGAGAAAGGAAUGGCGCUUUCACCGGACGAAGCUUGAGUGUGGCUUCGACCAAGUUUAACGAUGUGCAGAAUGGAUGACUCACGGAUGAUACUUGCGUGUUUGGCGCGGAGGUCUCGUGAUGAGGGAAAAGAGCACUGGCAGAGGAGAGAAUCUGUUGAUGGUAAAGGAAACGAUCAGUCAGAAGCACACGUGGGAGGUCAACAACUUCUUGAAAUUGGACAAGGAAUUCUCCGAGUCGAAAGUAUUCAUAGCCGGGAACGAGAAAUGGAAAAUAUAACUCUCUAUCCAGGCUGGAAAGGUAACCGGACUCGAACUUGCAUCUCUCAAGAAAACAAGCUACGAGUGAUUGAAUUCUUGUUUUGGACAUUGUAAACGCUCUCUGUGAUGCAGCUAAUCACUGGUUCAGCCUCUCUGAGCCAGGAGUCCAGUUGGGGGAGACUCAUGUUUCAUGCCAACUUCUAUGAUCCGAACACAGGCACUUUGGUGGAGGACACUUGUGUGGUCGAAGCAGAGGUCACUGUCCUCGGCGUAGUGGAUGCGGUUUGAAGUCGCUAUUCUGCUGACAAUCACGCUAUCACUCAGUAGUAUUGCUGUGAAUAUGUUCAUUUCAGCUCUGAUAUGAUACAGAUUAAUUUCCAGGUCCUGGUUCGCAAACCCGUCCAGUAAAACUGAACCCUGAUCUGAAAGAUAUGCAUCAAAGCAUGCAUUUUUCUUCUCUUCACUCCGUAAAAUCUUAACUACCGCCUGAUCUGCAAUCGCUUCAGACAGAUUAUUGUACUUUUCUUGUAAUUUUGUUUUAAGUAUCAUUGUAUAAAUCAAAUCUCUGUCCUGAUAAAUUAUGAACUUGCUAUUCGUCAAAUCAAUUCUUUUUCUUCCCCAGCA
Molecule: RNA transcript, 2514 nt
Organism: Eucalyptus grandis
Lineage: Eukaryota; Viridiplantae; Streptophyta; Magnoliopsida; Myrtales; Myrtaceae
Exons: 5
Source: RefSeq, a predicted model, not a curated record